Non-coding RNA from Stegodyphus dumicola, 73 nucleotides. The record is from the annotation of a RefSeq genome assembly. Lineage: Eukaryota; Metazoa; Arthropoda; Arachnida; Araneae; Eresidae.
GCUUUCGUGGUAUAAUUGGAAGUAUACUCGACAUAUAUUCGAGAGGUCCAGGGUUCGAGUCCCGGCGAGGGCA